RNAcentral lists this ribosomal RNA (253 nucleotides) under uncultured bacterium. Its description in RNAcentral is "partial 16S ribosomal RNA". It matches the Rfam family "Bacterial small subunit ribosomal RNA", at positions 524 to 776 of the family's 1533-position model. The record is from RNAcentral.
UACGUAGGGUGCAAGCGUUGUCCGGAAUUAUUGGGCGUAAAGAGCUCGUAGGCGGUUUGUCGCGUCUGCUGUGAAAACUCGGGGCUUAACCCCGGGCCUGCAGUGGGUACGGGCAGACUAGAGUGCGGUAGGGGAGACUGGAAUUCCUGGUGUAGCGGUGAAAUGCGCAGAUAUCAGGAGGAACACCGGUGGCGAAGGCGGUUCUCUGGGCAUUACCUGACGCUGAGGAGCGAAAGCGUGGGGAGCAAACGGG